UACGUAGGGUGCGAGCGUUAAUCGGAAUUACUGGGCGUAAAGCGUGCGCAGGCGGUUUUGUAAGCCAGAUGUGAAAUCCCCGGGCUCAACCUGGGAAUGGCAUUUGGGACUGCAAGGCUUGAGUGCGGCAGAGGAGACUGGAAUUCCUGGUGUAGCAGUGAAAUGCGCAGAUAUCAGGAAGAACACCCGUGGCUAAGGCGGUUCUCUAGUACGGUACUGACGCUGAGACGCGAAAGCGUGGGGAGCGAACAGG
Molecule: ribosomal RNA, 253 nt
Filed under: uncultured bacterium
Lineage: Bacteria
Description: partial 16S ribosomal RNA
Rfam family: Bacterial small subunit ribosomal RNA
Source: RNAcentral